RNAcentral lists this ribosomal RNA (253 nucleotides) under uncultured bacterium. RNAcentral's name for it is "partial 16S ribosomal RNA". It matches the Rfam family "Bacterial small subunit ribosomal RNA", at positions 524 to 776 of the family's 1533-position model. The record is from RNAcentral.
UACAGAGGGUGCUAGCGUUGUUCGGAAUUACUGGGCGUAAAGGGCGCGUAGGCGGCCCGCUAAGUCGAACGUGAAAUCCCCGGGCUCAACCCGGGAACUGCGUCCGAUACUGGCAGGCUUGAAUCCGGGAGAGGGAUGUGGAAUUCCAGGUGUAGCGGUGAAAUGCGUAGAUAUCUGGAGGAACACCGGUGGCGAAGGCGGCAUCCUGGACCGGUAUUGACGCUGAGGCGCGAAAGCCAGGGGAGCAAACGGG